AACGAACGCUGGCGGCAUGCCUAACACAUGCAAGUCGAACGAGACCUUCGGGUCUAGUGGCGCACGGGUGCGUAACGCGUGGGAACCUGCCCUUAGGUUCGGAAUAACUCCCCGAAAGGGGUGCUAAUAUCGGAUAAGGUCUUCGGACCAAAGAUUUAUCGCCUUUGGAUGGGCCCGCGUUGGAUUAGCUAGUUGGUAGGGUAAAAACCUACCAAGGCGACGAUCCAUAGCUGGUAUGAGAGGAUGAUCAGCCACACUGGGACUGAGACACGGCCCAGACUCCUACGGGAGGCAGCAGUGGGGAAUAUUGGACAAUGGGCGAAAGCCUGAUCCAGCAAUGCCGCGUGAGUGAUGAAGGCCUUAGGGUUGUAAAGCUCUUUUACCCGGGAUGAUAAUGACAGUACCGGGAGAAUAAGCUCCGGCUAACUCCGUG
RNAcentral lists this ribosomal RNA (433 nucleotides) under uncultured bacterium. RNAcentral describes it as "partial 16S ribosomal RNA". It matches the Rfam family "Bacterial small subunit ribosomal RNA", at positions 29 to 507 of the family's 1533-position model. The record is from RNAcentral.